RNAcentral lists this ribosomal RNA (183 nucleotides) under Rhizoctonia sp. AG-P. RNAcentral describes it as "5.8S ribosomal RNA". The stretch from base 29 to 182 matches the Rfam family "5.8S ribosomal RNA". From Rfam's summary of the family: 5.8S ribosomal RNA (5.8S rRNA) is a component of the large subunit of the eukaryotic ribosome. It is transcribed by RNA polymerase I as part of the 45S precursor that also contains 18S and 28S rRNA. The record is from RNAcentral. Lineage: Eukaryota; Fungi; Basidiomycota; Agaricomycetes; Cantharellales; Ceratobasidiaceae.
AUGUAAUUGAUGUAACGCAUCUAAUACUAAGUUUCAACAACGGAUCUCUUGGCUCUCGCAUCGAUGAAGAACGCAGCGAAAUGCGAUAAGUAAUGUGAAUUGCAGAAUUCAGUGAAUCAUCGAAUCUUUGAACGCACCUUGCGCUCCUUGGUAUUCCUUGGAGCAUGCCUGUUUGAGUAUCAU